Molecule: long non-coding RNA, 597 nt
Filed under: Cyanistes caeruleus (blue tit)
Lineage: Eukaryota; Metazoa; Chordata; Aves; Passeriformes; Paridae
Description: lncRNA (ENSCCEG00000011352.1)
Source: RNAcentral
GAGAGCAACCACAACAAAUGCCCUGAAGGAGCCCACCAGCUUCAGGAAGGCAGCAUGAGGAUCAACAGAGCAACAUCCCAGGCUCCAGAUCUCUAGGGAAUCCAUUGCCUGGGCUGUCAUCAACCAAAGUGGAAAUGCCUGUUCAGAGAGCCUGUCCCUGCUUUGGCAAUGCUCUUCAGCACGAGUGGAGAGGAAGUGGGAUUUCAUACAGCUUAGGAGGCUGGAGCUCACCACGCUUUGGAGCAUGGGUCUUUUAUUUGUCCUCACCCUGCAGGUGCGAGUGUUCACAGGCCAGACCCUCACUGGUAUGAACUGCCCCAGGCUCCCAGAGCUCCCUCCUCUGAGCCAGCCCAUCUGAGCAGGCUUGUGGUAUUCAGAGAUGCAGGCACAGGCCAUGCUGAGGCCAAGCUGGUCUCAGGGUUAGGAGUGGGAACUGGAAGUGCAGCAGAAUCCUUUUUCCCCAGGUUAUGGUACCAGGAGGAAUGGAUCAACCAUGGCAUGCGAAGAUGCCUCAACAAACAGCAGAUGCUGUUUUGUUCAAGAAGGAAUGCCAUGGCUGUACAGCCUGGAAAAUCCUGUGAUGCCUGCAAGAGCUGA